This 468-nucleotide ribosomal RNA is filed under the name uncultured bacterium. RNAcentral's name for it is "partial 16S ribosomal RNA". It matches the Rfam family "Bacterial small subunit ribosomal RNA", at positions 28 to 507 of the family's 1533-position model. The record is from RNAcentral.
GACGAACGCUGGCGGCGUGCUUAACACAUGCAAGUCGAACGGAAAGGCCCUGCUUUUGUGGGGUGCUCGAGUGGCGAACGGGUGAGUAACACGUGAGUAACCUGCCCUUGACUUUGGGAUAACUUCAGGAAACUGGGGCUAAUACAGGAUAGGAGCUCCUGCUGCAUGGUGGGGGUUGGAAAGUUUCGGCGGUUGGGGAUGGACUCGCGGCUUAUCAGCUUGUUGGUGGGGUAGUGGCUUACCAAGGCUUUGACGGGUAGCCGGCCUGAGAGGGUGACCGGCCACAUUGGGACUGAGAUACGGCCCAGACUCCUACGGGAGGCAGCAGUGGGGAAUAUUGCACAAUGGGCGGAAGCCUGAUGCAGCAACGCUGCGUGCGGGAUGACGGCCUUCGGGCUGUAAACCGCUUUCGCCUGUGACGAAGCGUGAGUGACGGUAAUGGGUAAAGAAGCACCGGCUAACUACGUG